This 506-nucleotide ribosomal RNA is filed under the name uncultured bacterium. RNAcentral's name for it is "bacterial SSU rRNA". It matches the Rfam family "Bacterial small subunit ribosomal RNA", at positions 24 to 518 of the family's 1533-position model. The record is from RNAcentral.
UCAGGAUGAACGCUAGCUACAGGCUUAACACAUGCAAGUCGAGGGGCAGCAUGAUCGAAGCUUGCUUUGAUUGAUGGCGACCGGCGCACGGGUGAGUAACGCGUAUCCAACCUUCCCUAUAGUAGAGAAUAGCCCGGCGAAAGUCGGAUUAAUGCUCUAUGUUGUAUUUAGAAGACAUCUGAAGAAUACCAAAGGUUUACCGCUAUAGGAUGGGGAUGCGUCUGAUUAGCUUGUUGGCGGGGUAACGGCCCACCAAGGCGACGAUCAGUAGGGGUUCUGAGAGGAAGGUCCCCCACAUUGGUACUGAGACACGGACCAAACUCCUACGGGAGGCAGCAGUGAGGAAUAUUGGUCAAUGGGCGAGAGCCUGAACCAGCCAAGUAGCGUGCAGGAAUGACUGCCCUAUGGGUUGUAAACUGCUUUUAUCAGGGAAUAAAGUGCGGCACGUGUGCCGUUUUGUAUGUACCUGAUGAAUAAGGACCGGCUAAUUCCGUGCCAGCCGCGGC